Molecule: ribosomal RNA, 445 nt
Filed under: uncultured bacterium
Lineage: Bacteria
Description: partial 16S ribosomal RNA
Rfam family: Bacterial small subunit ribosomal RNA
Source: RNAcentral
GUGAGGAAUAUUGCGCAAUGGAGGCAACUCUGACGCAGCCAUGCCGCGUGCAGGAAGAAGGCGCUACGCGUUGUAAACUGCUUUUAACCGGGAAGAAACCCCAGGACGUGUCCUGGGUUGACGGUACCGGAGGAAUAAGCACCGGCUAACUUCGUGCCAGCAGCCGCGGUAAUACGAAGGGUGCAAGCGUUAUCCGGAUUCAUUGGGUUUAAAGGGUGCGUAGGCGGAGCGUUAAGUCAGUGGUGAAAUCCUGCAGCUUAACUGUAGACUUGCCAUUGAUACUGGCGCUCUUGAGUGCGCUUGAAGUGGGCGGAAUGUGCCGUGUAGCGGUGAAAUGCUUAGAUAUGGCACAGAACACCAAUUGCGAAGGCAGCUCACUAAGGCGAUACUGACGCUGAGGCACGAAAGCGUGGGUAGCGAACAGGAUUAGAAACCCGUGUAGUCC